Long non-coding RNA from Aegilops tauschii subsp. strangulata, 1925 nucleotides. RefSeq lists it as uncharacterized. The record is from RefSeq and is a predicted model, not a curated record. NCBI's taxonomy places the organism in Eukaryota, Viridiplantae, Streptophyta, Magnoliopsida, Poales, Poaceae.
UUCACGACCCUGCCUCCCAAAUCCCAAUCCCAUCUCGACUCCAGCGCGCCGCCACCUCUUGCCCCGCCCCGCCCGGCCGGCGCUCCGCCUCCCAUCGCCGAGCGUCGUCGCCCCUCCUCGCCGCGCCGCCGGACCGCCUACCGUCGUCACGCACUGCCAUGGCCUACCUUGCCGCCCCGCCUACCCCUACCCCAAGUUCCCCCACACCCGCGCCCAUCACCGGCAUCCAUACGCGCGACCUGUUUCUCUGUUGCCGGGCGGCUGCAGGAGGUGGCCGGCAUCGCCCCGUCAUCAAAUCCCCUAGCCGCUUGAUCUCAUCCGCCGCAUGCUGGCUGCCCGUACAGGAUUGACGCGCCCUAUAUCCGGCGACCCGCGGCUACUCCUCCCAGCCCCGGAUCUGCUCUCCCGCCACCUGCGACCCACGGCUUCAAUGAUCCACGACCAACUCGGCUGCCCCCUUCCCCGUGCAGCUGCCUCUGAGGCUGCAGCAGCCUUCGCACGAGGCCACUACGGCGCCACCUAUGCUGUCCUGAAGUUCCGUCAGAUUCGUCAAUUUCAGUUUCAUCAGUUUUUGUCAGAUUAAGUUUCAUCAGAUUCAGAUAAUUCAGUUUCGUCAAAGUUUCAGUUGUAAGUUAAUUUCUCACGCACGUUGGCGCUCGGCGCUCGACGUCGUCCACUUCCUCACAUCACUCGAGCCCAAAUGCGUGCAGGUUACACCAGCCUUUGAUUUAUAUACCUACCGUACGUCCACUGAUCAGUAACAUGAAAAGGUUGGGCGCUCUGAGCUAGAACAUAAGCUGAUUGAUGAGAUGAGUUAAAAUGCUUCUGAUUGGUUAGACCCUCAAUAUUCCAAACUGAAGUCCAAGGAAGAAGGAUCAGGAAUAGCAGAUUUCCAAUGGACGCUGGUGUUGUUGGCUGACAUCUCCGGGGCUGUACAUCAUGAUGGUUACCAAGACACGACAAUGAUCUAAAUGCUACAAACCUGAAUGAAAUACCAUGACUGCAGGUCGUUGCUGAUUUGUGUUCGAAGAGGUGCAGCAAAAAGUGAGAAGCAACUGAGGUAAUCGCCGAUUGAAAAAAAUACAUGAUGCACUGAUGGAUUAUCAUGUAUAUAAUGCCUGUUAUUGGAAAGACCGAUGUUUUGCUCUGAACUUGUUUGUGUAAAUUUUUGGCAUUUUCCAUUGCUCUUCAGUGCACUGAAGAAUAGUGAAAUCUUGGCAUCCGAUUCCUUUUGCAGGCUAUGCUUUUAACUCAACCAAAUCUGCAUUGUUAGUUGCUCUUAUAGUCUGUUUGUAGCUAAUUGGGGGACAAACAUGGGCAAUGACCAGCUUAUUUUGAUGACAGUGCAAUCAAGGACUCACAUGUUCACUGAUGAAUCUACCUCUAUUUGCAUGGUUAUUUUCCGAAUCAGCAACACUUUAUGAGGGUCUUCAUCGGCAAUGUACAUAGUGAUGCAUAACUGUUGGUUUGAAUUAUUUGGAUGCUUCAGUUGUCAGACAUGUAUGUGCAGAGAGUUGAGGCUUUGAAAUUAGAUAAUAUGUCUAAUGAAUAUGCAUGUUUAUUCAUGGAACUAUGCUCCAUCUGUUUGAUCAAUUUGUUCGAUGCAUAUGCUCAUUCAUGUGUUGUCAUAGUGACUUGCCUGCGCUCAUUGUUGAUCGCAAAGAAGUGAGUUGGUCCAGAAAUUGCAGCUGAGAUGGAGCUCGGCAGGAUGGCUAGACAGGCCCAGCUUGGUAUUAGUCUUCUCUAAAAUUUUAUGUAGAAGUUUUUUCCUAGAUCCAAGUACAUUGUAUCAUUAUUUUGCAGGUGUGAUCCACAGCAGAGAUCACAUUUUCUAUGAUUAUAAUUUAUUUACUCAUGUUCAUACUAAAUGUUUUUAGCAAAGUUCAUACUAAAUGUUAAAAGGGUCAAUCCACAAGCUUGUCUGA